CGCGGAGUGGAGCAGUUGGUAGCUCGUCGGGCUCAUAACCCGGAGGUCGUAGGUUCAAGUCCUGCCUCCGCAACCA
Molecule: transfer RNA, 76 nt
Filed under: Bacillota bacterium
Lineage: Bacteria; Bacillati; Bacillota
Description: tRNA-Met
Rfam family: tRNA
About the family: Transfer RNA (tRNA) molecules are approximately 80 nucleotides in length.
Source: RNAcentral